Molecule: ribosomal RNA, 253 nt
Filed under: uncultured bacterium
Lineage: Bacteria
Description: partial 16S ribosomal RNA
Rfam family: Bacterial small subunit ribosomal RNA
Source: RNAcentral
UACGAAGGGGGCUAGCGUUGCUCGGAAUCACUGGGCGUAAAGCGCACGUAGGCGGAUUGCUAAGUUAGGGGUGAAAUCCUGGAGCUCAACUCCAGAACUGCCUUUGAUACUGGCGGUCUCGAGUCCGGGAGAGGUGAGUGGAACUGCGAGUGUAGAGGUGAAAUUCGUAGAUAUUCGCAAGAACACCAGUGGCGAAGGCGGCUCACUGGCCCGGUACUGACGCUGAGGUGCGAAAGCGUGGGGAGCAAACAGG